UCCGUUUUGUCAACGGCAGUCUCGCUAGAGUGCUCUUGCGUAGCAACUAACAAUAAGGGUUGCGCUCGUUGCGGGACUUAACCCAACAUCUCACGACACGAGCUGACGACAACCAUGCACCACCUGUCUCAACUUUCCCCGAAGGGCACCUAAUGCAUCUCUGCUUCGUUAGUUGGAUGUCAAACCCUGGUAAGGUUCUUCGCGUUGCUUCGAAUUAAACCACAUAAUCCACUGCUUGUGCGGGCCCCCGUCAAUUCCUUUGAGUUUCAACCUUGCGGCCGUACUCCCCAGGUGGAAUACUUAUUGUGUUAACUCCGGCACGGAGGGGGUUAGUCCCCCCACACCUAGUAUUCAUCGUUUACAGCGUGGACUAC
RNAcentral lists this unclassified non-coding RNA (374 nucleotides) under uncultured Oscillospiraceae bacterium. RNAcentral's name for it is "contains 16S-23S intergenic spacer region". The record is from RNAcentral. Lineage: Bacteria; Bacillati; Bacillota; Clostridia; Eubacteriales; Oscillospiraceae.